RNAcentral lists this unclassified non-coding RNA (392 nucleotides) under soil metagenome. Its description in RNAcentral is "partial contains 5.8S ribosomal RNA, internal transcribed spacer 2, and large subunit ribosomal RNA". The stretch from base 1 to 122 matches the Rfam family "5.8S ribosomal RNA", at positions 35 to 154 of the family's 154-position model. The record is from RNAcentral.
GAUGAAGAACGCAGCGAAAUGCGAUACUUGGUGUGAAUUGCAGAAUCCCGUGAACCAUCGAGUCUUUGAACGCAAGUUGCGCCCGAAGCCAUCAGGUUGAGGGCACGUCUGCCUGGGCGUCACAUAUCGUUGCUCGAUACCUAUCGCAUUGCGUUAGGACUUAGGGCGAAUGAUGGCUUCCCGUGAGCGUUGUUGCCUCGCGGUUGGUUGAAAAUCGAGUCCUUGGUAGGGUGUGCCAUGAUAGAUGGUGGUCGAGUUAGCGCGAGACCGAUCAUGUGCAUGCUCCCCAAAAUAUGGCCUCUGUGACCCACACGCGUCUUUUGACGCUCAUGACGAGACCUCAGGUCAGGCGGGGCUACCCGCUGAAUUUAAGCAUAUCAAUAAGCGGAGGA